RNAcentral lists this ribosomal RNA (567 nucleotides) under Mucor fragilis. Its description in RNAcentral is "eukaryotic LSU rRNA". The stretch from base 221 to 373 matches the Rfam family "5.8S ribosomal RNA". The record is from RNAcentral. Lineage: Eukaryota; Fungi; Mucoromycota; Mucoromycetes; Mucorales; Mucoraceae.
AAGGAUCAUUAAAUAAUCAAUAAUUUUGGCUUGUCCAUCAUUAUCUAUUUACUGUGAACUGUAUUAUUACUUGACGCUUGAGGGAUGUUCCAAUGCUAUAAGGAUAGGCACUGGAAAUGUUAACCGAGUCAUAAUCAAGCUUAGGCUUGGUAUCCUAUUAUUAUUUACCAAAAGAAUUCAGAAUUAAUAUUGUAACAUAGACGUAAAAAAUCUAUAAAACAACUUUUAACAACGGAUCUCUUGGUUCUCGCAUCGAUGAAGAACGUAGCAAAGUGCGAUAACUAGUGUGAAUUGCAUAUUCAGUGAAUCAUCGAGUCUUUGAACGCAACUUGCGCUCAUUGGUAUUCCAAUGAGCACGCCUGUUUCAGUAUCAAAACAAACCCUCUAUCCAACUUUUGUUGAAUAGGAUGACUGAGAGUCUCUUGAUCUAUUCUGAUCUUGAACCUCUUGAAAUAUACAAAGGCCUGAUCUUGUUUGAAUGCCUGAACUUUUUUUUAAUAUAAAGAGAAGCUCUUGCGAUAAAACUGUGCUGGGGCCUCCCAAAUAACACAUCUUUAAAUUUGAUCU